RNAcentral lists this unclassified non-coding RNA (3771 nucleotides) under Hermetia illucens (black soldier fly). Its description in RNAcentral is "probable phospholipid-transporting ATPase IA, transcript variant X11". Lineage: Eukaryota; Metazoa; Arthropoda; Insecta; Diptera; Stratiomyidae. The record is from RNAcentral.
UUUGAACAUUGGGGACAUUCCUGAACGUGCCUUUUUCUAAUCUGGUUAUUUGCAAUUGAUAAGUUCAUCAAAAAUGUCUGAUAAUAAAUAUCGCCAAAGUUUGGAAUUGAAAAAUAUGAACCGUCAGAAUUCCUGGACUCGUCGUACCGUUCGCUCGGUGUCGAAUGGGGAUCAGCUGGACUUUUUGGAUUUCCCUAAUGCAAAAUCUGCAGAUACCUCGCCGCAAUCGCCUAAAAGGAAACAAUCUGCCACCCUUUCGCCACAAGAUCGACGUCGUGAGUCGAAAGCUUCUAGUGUCUCCAAGCAUAGUAUGACUAGUGGGAAAAGUGGUAAAAGUGGUAAAAGCCGUAGUUCCAGUAUUGCUAGCAAAAGGAAAUUGAAAUAUACAGCGUCAUUUUUUCGACGGAAGCGCGCAGAAUAUGAGGAUGACGAUGAUGCAACAACAUCUGGAGUUACUCUCGAUGACACAGAGAAACGGACGAUAUUUUUGAAUAAACCGCAAAUACAAAAGUUCUGCAAUAAUCACAUAUCAACAGCGAAAUAUAGUAUAAUAAGCUUUCUACCGUCAUUUCUUUUCGAGCAAUUUCGACGAUACUCCAACUGUUUUUUCCUUUUGAUUGCUCUAUUACAACAAAUUCCCGAUGUAUCCCCGACAGGACGUUAUACAACAUUAGUACCAUUAAUUUUUAUAUUAUCUGUAAGCGCAAUUAAAGAAAUAGUGGAAGAUAUUAAACGGCAUCGAGCAGAUGAUGAAAUCAAUCACAGAGAAGUUGAUGUUCUUAAAGAUGGCGUUUGGUCAUCAGUCAAGUGGCAACAGCUAAGUGUAGGCGAUAUUGUAAAAGUACCUAAUAAUACAUUUUUUCCUGCCGAUCUUGUACAGCUUUCAUCCAGUGAGCCUCAAGGAAUGUCUUUUAUUGAGACCGCAAAUUUAGAUGGGGAGACAAAUCUUAAAAUACGUCAAGGUGUACCUUCUACAGCCAAAUUAAUUGAAACAAAAGAUGUCAGCUUAUUGGCCGGUGUGUUAGAAUGUGAACUACCAAACAGACAUCUGUAUGAAUUCAAUGGAGUUCUUAAGGAAGAAGACAAAUCGUCCGUUGCGCUUGGACCAGAUCAAUUGCUUCUGCGUGGUGCGAUUUUACGAAACACUUCAUGGGUAUUCGGAAUCGUUGUCUACACCGGGCAUGAUUCAAAACUUAUGAGAAAUUCUACCUCAGCGCCCUUGAAGCGUUCAACCGUUGACAGACUGACCAACACGCAAAUUUUGAUGUUAUUUUUAAUACUUAUUGUUUUAUGCCUUGUUAGUGCCAUUUUCAAUGAAGUGUGGAUACAAUCACACUUCCGAAGUGAUUGGUACUUGGGUAUUGAUGAUGUGCUGAGCAAAAAUUUCGGAUACAAUCUUCUGACGUUUAUUAUUUUGUACAAUAAUUUGAUCCCAAUAUCAUUGCAAGUUACAUUGGAACUAGUAAGGUUUUUACAGGCUAUUUUUAUAAAUUUUGAUGUUGAAAUGUAUCAUGCGGAAUCGGACACCCCUGCAAUGGCGAGAACAUCAAAUUUAAAUGAAGAGCUUGGUAUGGUGAAGUACAUUUUCACGGACAAAACAGGAACCCUAACGCGAAAUAUAAUGGAAUUCAAAAAAUGUUCUAUCGCUAGGCUAAUGUACUCUGUCGAAGAUACACCAGAACAAUCAGCACUAGUACAGAAUAUACUCAACAAUCAUCAGACCGCUCCAGUCAUAAUCGAGUUCAUGACACUACUUGCUGUGUGUCAUACAGUAAUCCCAGAACGGCUAGAAGACACCAUAGCCUAUCAUGCUGCAAGUCCUGAUGAACGAGCCCUUGUCGAUGGAGCAAAACGAUUUGGUUAUAUUUUCGACACAAGAACACCUUCUUACGUUGAAAUCGAUGCACUAGGAAAGCGGGAACGUUACGAAAUUUUGAACGUUCUUGAAUUUACGUCAGCUCGCAAAAGGAUGUCUGUUAUAAUUCGAACGGCAAGCGGCGAAAUUAAGUUAUACUGUAAAGGAGCAGAUACAGUGAUUUAUGAAAGAUUGGCGCCGGAUGGUCAAGCUUAUCGUGAAGCUACAUUACGUCAUUUGGAAGAGUUCGCUUCAGAAGGUUUACGAACGUUAUGCUUAGCGGUUGCCACCAUACCUGAGGAUGUUUACAAUGAAUGGAAAGAAACUUAUCAUAAAGCGUCGACGGCACUGCAAUACCGAGAACGUAAAGUUGAAGAUGCAGCUAAUCUUAUUGAAAACAAUCUUAUGUUACUUGGUGCCACUGCAAUUGAGGAUAAACUACAAGAAGGUGUACCUGACACUAUAGCUGCCUUACUCAAAGCCGAUAUUUAUAUUUGGGUAUUGACCGGCGAUAAACAAGAGACUGCUAUAAAUAUUGGCUAUUCAUGUAAACUAAUUAGUCAAACUAUGGAUUUGCUUAUUUUAAAUGAGGAUAGCUUAGAUAAUACUCGUGAAUGUAUACACAAACAUUGCGGUGAUUUCCGGGACCAGUUCGCGAAAGAGAGCAACGUGGCACUUAUAAUAGAUGGAAAGACCUUGAAAUACGCCCUCAGUUGUGAUUUGCGUAGAGAUUUCUUAGAAUUGUGCACAGCUUGCAGGGUUGUAAUAUGUUGUCGGGUGUCACCAAUGCAAAAGGCUGAGGUUGUGGAUUUGGUAACAACGAACACAAAAAGUGUAACACUGGCAAUUGGAGAUGGAGCCAAUGAUGUGGCAAUGAUUCAGAAAGCGCAUGUAGGCGUUGGUAUCUCAGGUGUGGAAGGACUUCAAGCUGCAUGUGCAUCCGAUUAUUCGAUUGGACAAUUUAGAUUCUUACUACGGUUAUUACUGGUUCACGGGGCGUGGAACUAUAGCCGCAUGUGUAAAUUAAUUCUUUAUAGCUUCUACAAAAACGUAUGCCUGUAUGUGAUAGAAUUAUGGUUUGCAAUUUAUUCAGGAUGGUCCGGCCAAAUUUUAUUCGAACGAUGGACGAUUGGUCUAUACAACGUGGUUUUUACAGCAUUGCCGCCAUUCGCAAUGGGUCUAUUUGACAAAGUUUGUUCGGCUGAAACAAUGUUAAAAUAUCCGGCACUUUACAAACCUUCACAAAGUGCAAAACUAUUCAACGUCAAGGUGUUUUGGGUAUGGAUAAUAAAUGCUCUUAUACACUCGGUGUUGCUGUUUUGGCUACCAAUGUUGGCAUACAAGAAUGAGACCAUAUGGGGCAGUGGGAGAACAGGUGGAUUUUUGGUUUUAGGGAAUAUCGUUUACACUUAUGUGGUCAUAACAGUGUGUUUGAAAGCUGGUUUAAUUACAAAUUCGUGGACAUGGUUAACACAUUGUUCUAUUUGGGGCUCAAUUGCCUUAUGGUUCAUAUUUAUUGCAGUUUAUAGCAAUAUCUGGCCAACAUUACCGUUCGCUGCAAUUUUUUCGGGAAUGGAUAAAAUAUUGUUUUCGUCACCAUUGUUCUGGCUGGGCCUGAUCAUAAUACCUGUUGCGACACUACUGCUGGAUGUUUUGGUUAAAAUAGUGGAAAAUACUGUGUUCAAAUCGCUUACGGAAGCAGUACGUGAGACGGAAGUGCAGAAACAAGACCCGGAUCAAGUGAUGAGAGAAUCGAGAUCUUCUACGAUGCAUGCAUUGGGAGCCCUAAUUCGGUAUUAACUGAAACUGCGAGACUUCUGAGAAAUGUCCGUAGUGUAUUUAGUCGACGAGCAAACACCAGAAUAGAUACGGAGCUUGAGUUGUCGCAUGGGUACGCGUUUUCUCAGGAGGAGGGA